CAAAUUAUUACGCACAGUAAGUUUCAAAACACUUUAUAGGUUGUAAAGAACUGAAAAUUGUCAUUUGUUGUGUUUGCAGCAUAUUUACUGAAAUCAAAAGCUAUUUCAUCAAACUUAUAACAACAUUUUAACUUUUUAAACAUUUUAACAGGUCACGUUACAUUUUAACAUAGGACCCCUUAUUUGAAAGCAGCUUCACAAGUCUUGCAUCAAUUGAACUUGUGAGUUUUUGGACAGUUUCUGCUUGAAUUUGUUUGCAAGAUGUCAGUCAGAAUAGCCUCCCAGAGCUGCUGUUUGGAUGUAAACUGCCUCCCACCCUCAUAGAUCUUUUGCUUGAGGAUGCUCCAAAGGUUCUCAAUAGGAUUGAGGUCAGGGGAGGAUGGAGGCCACACCAUGACUUUCUCUCCAUUUAUCCCCAUAGCAGCCAUUGAUGCAGAGGUAUUCUUUGCAGCAUGAGAUGGUGCAUUGUCAUGCAUGAAGAUGAUUUUAUUACAGAAAGCAUAGUUCUUCCUUCUGUACCAG
This is a non-coding RNA of Pelobates cultripes (western spadefoot toad), 522 nucleotides long. The record is from the annotation of a GenBank genome assembly. NCBI's taxonomy places the organism in Eukaryota, Metazoa, Chordata, Amphibia, Anura, Pelobatidae.